CGCCGGUUAGGGAGCUGAGCAGUGGGGGCUCGAGCGGCACGGCGUACGGAGCUCCGGUGAAUUCGGAAAGAGAGGGUUGGGGGAUGGGACGAUACGGGGGAGGUCGGAGGUGACAUUCCUGGGAGUUCAAUUAAAAAAGGCGGUCGGAGGAGCCAGGAAGACUCGCCCCAGCUGAAGCAGGACGAAGAGAGGAUUUCUGUUUGCCUUUGGAGGAACAGAGAAGAAACUAUCUCCAGCUGAAGGAGCCGGAAGGAAGUGAAGUUGCAACAGUUACAGGGAAAGCAGUCCAAAGCUGAAGAAACCAAGAGCUACGGUCUUUCACGGGAAAAGGACCGGCGAGGGACUUUGGCUGCAGGUUGACUUGCUCAGUGGCUUCGUCCGCUGCAGGGCAGUAAGCCAGGUACGAUGGUUAGCAGCACGAAUCACGAAGCAGCCGGUACAUCGCCGCCUGUCGUCAGCAGCCGGCCCUCCAGCUUGCCUCGUCACUCGCCAGGUGUCUCUGCCGGCGCUAAAAACAAGCAGCGGCGCCGGAGGAACCGCGACCCGUGGUGGAAGCGCUGGUGCUGCUGCGGCUGCCAGUGCUCGAUCGAGUGUGACUGGUGCGCCUCGGAAGACGAAGACGAAAACGACGGAAACGGGAGCGGAGACUCAAACGGCGGAGGUGUGCCGAGCGGAGAGGGAGAAGGGGAGGGAGAGGGAGGUGGAGAGGGAGGUGGAGGGGGAGGGGGAGGCGGUGGAGGAGAUGGGCACAGCAGUGACGAGGAGGAUGGAGACGCAGGGGAGGGCCAGAACGGCGACACGGGAGGUCAGGGCAGUGGACACGGAGGUCAGGACGCGGCCGGAGGUCACGAUAGCGGUGGGCAUGGGGGAGGUCGUAGCGGAGACCAUGACACAGGACACGGAGGCCACACCGGAGCUACAGGAGGGACAGCCAGCGGCGGGGGAGGACGCAGCGGGGGUGGGUUCAGCGGCUCUAGCCGCCACAACUUUAGCAGGUCCAGCGGUAGCCGACGGAGCAGUUUCAGCUUUGACCAUUCCAAUGGCGGCUCCUUCGGUGGCGACUCAGGAGGCGGUGAUGAUUAGGGACAGCUGUGUUUUCACGUAUUUCAGAGGUUAUGGCAAUAGUUAGGCCUCACCAACGCUACCCCCAGUAACAUGGUAGGUAGGCGUGGCCACUGUUGGCAUUGACGAGUUUCUUAUUGUUUUAUGAAUAUUAUAGAUUGUGGAUAACGAU
This 1234-nucleotide long non-coding RNA is filed under the name Amphibalanus amphitrite. Its description in RNAcentral is "uncharacterized LOC122378465". Lineage: Eukaryota; Metazoa; Arthropoda; Thecostraca; Balanomorpha; Balanidae. The record is from RNAcentral.